Molecule: non-coding RNA, 731 nt
Organism: Phoenix dactylifera (date palm)
Lineage: Eukaryota; Viridiplantae; Streptophyta; Magnoliopsida; Arecales; Arecaceae
Source: RefSeq, a predicted model, not a curated record
AGCUAUCAUCUCGCUACCCGCACAUCCAUGGCGAUCGGGCGAUUAGGGUUAGGGUUAGGGUUAGGGUUAGCUUUUACGUCAGGGUUUUCUCUGAUCCAGUCCUAACCCACGAUCGCCUCAUCCUCCUCGUUCUGCGAUGCGAUUCAAACCAAUCCAGUUUCGUUCUUCCCCUUGUGAUAUUCUUAAACAUCACUCUGAAUCUUGAUCGAACGUUCAAUUCACGCUUUGGCAAUCUAGGAUGGAUUGGCAAGGACAGAAGCGCUCGGAGAUUUUGAUGCUGAUUUCGCUGGUGGUGUUCGGAGUUGUUGCUUUUGGGGUCGGAUAUGCGAUCGGCUCCUUCCAGAUUAUGAUGCUUAUCUAUGGGUCUGGAGUUGUCCUGACUGCAUUGAUUACGGUGCCCAAUUGGCCCUUGUUCAAUCGCCACCCGCUGAAAUGGUUGGACCCGAGCGAGGCCGAUCGCCACCCGAAGCCGCAGGCGAACACUGCAACUUCAAAGAAGAAGGUGUCCAAGCAAAAGUAGAAGUAGGUCUUGUUAUAGCUUUCAGAAUUUUUUCAGGGCUUUCCAUUGUUGCUGUCUUAUUGAUGGGGCAAACUUUAGUACUGCUGGGUGUUGCUGAUGGUGGAAGCAUUGGUUUGUUGGUGUUUCUGAAGUAAUUUUAGGAAUAUGGAAUAUUACUCCCACAAUGGCUAAAUGAAAGAUAAACUUAGAAAAAAGGAACAACUUGUUCUUA